RNAcentral lists this long non-coding RNA (268 nucleotides) under Homo sapiens (human). Its description in RNAcentral is "non-protein coding lnc-CENPP-20:1". Lineage: Eukaryota; Metazoa; Chordata; Mammalia; Primates; Hominidae. The record is from RNAcentral.
CCACCUCCCACCCAGACCUGGGAUGGGGAGGCAGUGGGAGGAAACAGGUGCUGUGUGAGCAUUACUGGCUGACCGACUCUACCCCGGACACCCAUGGUCACAUCACCAUCCACCUCCUAGCUGAGGAGCCUGAGGAUGAGUGGACCAAGCGGGAAUUCCAGCUGCAGCACGUGCGUGCCCCAAGGAUGAGGGGAUGGGACAGGCAUUAGAGCUGAGACCCCUGAGAAGGUUGCCUCACUUCCUGGGUCCCUGGAGCCCUCUCUUUCGG